GACGAACGCUGGCGGCGUGCUUAAUACAUGCAAGUCGAACGGAAAGGCCCUGAUUUUGUGGGGUGCUCGUUUGGCGAACGGGUGAGUAACACGUGAGUAACCUGCCCUUGACUUUGGGAUAACUUCAGGAAACUGGGGCUAAUACCGGGGAGGAGCUCCUGCUGCAUGUGGGUGGUUGGAAAGUUUCGGCGGUUGGGGAUGGACUCGCGGGUUAUCAGCUUGUUGGGGGGGUUGUGGCUUACAAAGUUUUUGAGGGGUAGCCGGCCUGGGAGGGUGGCCGGGCACCAGGGUCCUAAGAGACGGCGCAGUCUCCAACGGGAGGCAGCAGGGGGGAAUAUUGCACAACGGGGGGAAGCCUGAUGCAGAAGCGCUGCGUGCGGGAUGACGGCCUUCGGGUUGUAAACCGCUUUCGCAUGUGACGAAGCGUGAGUGACGGUAAUGGGUAAAGAAGCACCGGCUAACUACGUG
RNAcentral lists this ribosomal RNA (468 nucleotides) under uncultured bacterium. Its description in RNAcentral is "partial 16S ribosomal RNA". It matches the Rfam family "Bacterial small subunit ribosomal RNA", at positions 28 to 507 of the family's 1533-position model. The record is from RNAcentral.